Molecule: ribosomal RNA, 253 nt
Filed under: uncultured bacterium
Lineage: Bacteria
Description: partial 16S ribosomal RNA
Rfam family: Bacterial small subunit ribosomal RNA
Source: RNAcentral
AACGUAGGAGACGAACGUUAUCCGGAUUUACUGGGCGUAAAGGGCGUGCAGGCGGUCUGAUAAGUUCGGCGUGAAAUAUUCCGGCUUAACCGGGAUAGGUCGUCGGAGACUGUCGGACUAGAGGGUGAUAGAGGCGUGUGGAAUUCCGGGUGUAGUGGUGAAAUGCGUAGAGAUCCGGAGGAACACCAGUGGCGAAGGCGACACGCUGGGUCACACCUGACGCUAAAGCGCGACAGCAUGGGGAGCGAACGGG